RNAcentral lists this ribosomal RNA (461 nucleotides) under uncultured bacterium. RNAcentral describes it as "partial 16S ribosomal RNA". It matches the Rfam family "Bacterial small subunit ribosomal RNA", at positions 338 to 795 of the family's 1533-position model. The record is from RNAcentral.
CCUACGGGUGGCUGCAGUGAGGAAUAUUGGUCAAUGGUCGGGAGACUGAACCAGCCAAGCCGCGUGAGGGAGGAAGGUACAGAGUAUCGUAAACCUCUUUUGUCAGGGAACAAAGACUGGGACGCGUCCCCGGAUGAGUGUACCUGAAGAAAAAGCAUCGGCUAACUCCGUGCCAGCAGCCGCGGUAAAACGUAGGGGGCGAGCGUGGACCGGAAUGACUGGGCGUAAAGGGUGCGUAGGCGGCAUAAUAAGUUAGAAGUGAAAUACCCAGAGCUUAACUCGGGUGCUGCUUCUAAGACUGGUGAGCUUGAGUGCGGGAGAGGUUAAUGGAAUUCCUAGUGUAGCGGUGGAAUGCGUAGAUAUUAGGAGGAACACCAGAGGCGAAGGCGAUUAACUGGACCGUAACUGACGCUGAGGCACGAAAGUGUGGGUAGCAAACAGGAUUAGAUACCCCUGUAGUC